AAGCGUGUAGGCUGGUUUUCCAGGCAAAUCCGGAAAAUCAAGGCUGAGGCGUGAUGACGAGGCACUACGGUGCUGAAGCAACAAAUGCCCUGCUUCCAGGAAAAGCCUCUAAGCAUCAGGUAACAUUGAAUCGUACCCCAAACCGACACAGGUGGUCAGGUAGAGAAUACCAAGGCGCUUGAGAGAACUCGGGUGAAGGAACUAGGCAAAAUGGUGCCGUAACUUCGGGAGAAGGCACGCUGAUAUGUAGGUGAA
This 255-nucleotide ribosomal RNA is filed under the name Escherichia coli. RNAcentral describes it as "partial 23S ribosomal RNA". It matches the Rfam family "Bacterial large subunit ribosomal RNA", at positions 1514 to 1766 of the family's 2925-position model. Lineage: Bacteria; Pseudomonadati; Pseudomonadota; Gammaproteobacteria; Enterobacterales; Enterobacteriaceae. The record is from RNAcentral.